GAUCUUGCACAAUGGAGGAAACUCUGAUGCAGCGAUGCCGCGUGAGUGAAGAAGGCCUUUGGGUUGUAAAGCUCUUUCGUCGGGGAAGAAAAUGACGGUACCCGAAUAAGAAGGUCCGGCUAACUUCGUGCCAGCAGCCGCGGUAAUACGAAGGGACCUAGCGUAGUUCGGAAUUACUGGGCUUAAAGAGUUCGUAGGUUGUUAAAAAAGUUGGUGGUGAAAUCCCAGAGCUUAACUCUGGAACUGCCAUCAAAACUUUUUAGCUAGAGUAUGAUAGAGGAAAGCAGAAUUUCUAGUGUAGAGGUGAAAUUCGUAGAUAUUAGAAAGAAUACCAAUUGCGAAGGCAGCUUUCUGGAUCAUUACUGACACUGAGGAACGAAAGCAUGGGUAGCGAAGAGGAUUAGAUACCCUCGUAGUCCAUGCCGUAAACGAUGUGUGUUAGACGUUGGAAAUUUAUUUUCAGUGUCGCAGCGAAAGCAUUAAACACACCGCCUGGGGAGUACGACCGCAAGGUUAAAACUCAAAUGAAUUGACGGGGACCCGCACAAGUAGUGGAGCAUGUGGUUUAAUUCGAAGAUACGCGCAGAACCUUACCAACACUUGACAUGUUCGUCGCGACUUUAAGAAAUUAAAGUCUUCGGUUCGGCCGGACGAAACACAGGUGCUGCAUGGCUGUCGUCAGCUCGUGUCGUGAGAUGUUGGGUUAAGUCCCGCAACGAGCGCAACCCUCACUUUUAGUUACCAUCAUUUAGUUGGGUACUCUGAAAGAACUGCCAGUGAUAAGCUGGAGGAAGGUGGGGAUGACGUCAAGUCCUCAUGGCCCUUACGUGUUGGGCUACACACGUGCUACAAUGGCAUCUACAAUAGGAAGCAAGAUGGCGACAUUGAGCAAAUCCUAAAAAGAUGCCUCAGUUCGGAUUGUACUCUGCAACUCGAGUACAUGAAGCUGGAAUUACUAGUAAUCGCGGAUCAGCGCGCCGCGGUGAAUACGUUCCCGGGUCUUGUACACACCGCCCGUCACACCAUGGGAGUUGGUUCUACCUUAAGGCAAAGCUUAUAAACUUUGACCACGGUAUAGUCAGCGACUGGGGUGAAGUCGUAACAAGGUAGCCGUAGGGGAACCUGCGGCUG
Molecule: ribosomal RNA, 1131 nt
Filed under: marine metagenome
Description: bacterial SSU rRNA
Rfam family: Bacterial small subunit ribosomal RNA
Source: RNAcentral